UGUCAGCCCGACGGCACUUGUCUCAAUUUUACAAUGUCUACCAUUCUGCAUGGUCGGGAAUUUACUCUAGAGGAUGGGAAACUGUAUAAAAACUAGAGCUAAUACAUGCCGAAGCCGCAAGGUUGUAUUUAUUAGAUAUUCCAAUUAGGUGAAUCAUGAUAACUUUGUCAAAUCUCUGGAAACGAAGAGAUAAAUCAUCCAAGUUUCUGCCCUAUCAUGCUUUCGAUGGUAGUGUAUUGGACUAUUCCGCCCCUGCUCUCCCCAGGGAAUUAGGGUUUCUCCCCUCUUUGAAGGAGCCUGAGAACGGUUGGUACAUCUACGGAAGGCAGCAGGCCCCUUCAUUACCCAAUCCUGACUCAGGGAGGUGGUGACUUUUAUUAUCACGCAUUUCAUUGUGAUUGUAGUGAGGGAUUCCAACCGAACCCUAGUACGAUUAGAGGGAAGUCUGUGCAGCAGCGCGGUAUUCAGCUCUAUAGCGAUAUAAGUGCUGCAGUUAAAGCUCGAGUGGAUUCAGGAUGGACUCUCUCGAGUAUCAUCUAUAGCUUGACUGUCUGUAGAAUAAGGUUAGAGCAUGCAGAUCAUACUGAAACGAGUCUGACUGUACUAGUCCUAAAACUGGGGUGUUAUGCAGAUGUUAAAUGAUCGAGUUCUCGAAGGGAACGGCUUACGGGGCCUCACUGGUAACGGGCGAAAAAAAAGGUGGUGGGUGCGGCAGCAGUGUAUGUGCGCCAUGA
RNAcentral lists this ribosomal RNA (734 nucleotides) under uncultured rumen protozoa. RNAcentral's name for it is "bacterial SSU rRNA". It matches the Rfam family "Eukaryotic small subunit ribosomal RNA", at positions 76 to 760 of the family's 1831-position model. The record is from RNAcentral.